AUGGAUAGAUUUUGGGGAGAAUUAAACCGUGAUAUACAGGAGAUACUAAUUCAUGAAGGGUGUUAUCCUAUGGACCGUUUGUUUCGUCUUGCUUGCAAAGCUGAACAGGAAAUAAAAUGGCGUGUUGUCCACAAGGAGAAUAAGCGCAAGGUGCACAUUCCAAGAGAUGAUACGGUUGUUCCUUCAACUACUAGGCGUAAUAUGACAACCACAUCCGUUGUUGCGAGGACUACAUCACCUCUACCAUGUGACACAUCACCUCCGAUAGUGCCUGCAUCAUCUGAGUUGAUCAUAAGAGGUAAUGACAAAGGUACCGAUCUUCCACCUCCACAUGAGUAUGAUGAAUGCCUUGUCAAUUUAAAUGAACCAUGCAAUGAGCUACCCACUACUUUGAUCACACCGGCUAUUUUAGAAUACUAUGUUCAUGAUUUGACUUUGUCAUGUGAUCAAACAAUUUUGAGUGAACCCAUUGAAUUAACCAUUGAUGCGAAAGAACCAUGUGAAUCAGGGAAUAAAUCAGAUUUGGAUCAAAUACAUUUGAAAAUAGUUGUGCCAAUGUUUAAUCAUUUUGAUAGGACCUCUAAUCUUGGUGAUGGUUCAUCAAGGUUGUGA
This 612-nucleotide ribosomal RNA is filed under the name Triticum aestivum (bread wheat). RNAcentral describes it as "partial small subunit ribosomal RNA". Lineage: Eukaryota; Viridiplantae; Streptophyta; Magnoliopsida; Poales; Poaceae. The record is from RNAcentral.